Molecule: long non-coding RNA, 1713 nt
Organism: Gallus gallus (chicken)
Lineage: Eukaryota; Metazoa; Chordata; Aves; Galliformes; Phasianidae
Source: Ensembl
GGAAAGAGCGGCAGGGGGAGCGGCCCGGCCCGGCCCGUCUCGGUCUGGUGUGCAGGAGUUGUGGCGGCCGCACGCCGCGAUGGGUCGCGUCGCUCCUCCGGAGUGCCACGGCGUAUUCUGCUUACGAUCAAAGUUCCCGCGCGUGGCGAGCAGAGCGCCGUGCGGUUUUGUGUCUGCGGCGCGAAGCGAGGCCUGGGCGCGGCGGGACCUCAGCCGUGCGGUGAAGGUCGCGGCUGCGGGUCGGGAGCGGCCUGUGGGGAGCGAAAGCAAAAGCAAAGCCAGGCCGGGCAGGAGGAGCCUUGCGCUGAGGGACGGGCGGCCUGCGGACCGCGCCUGGCCGGCUCUCCAGGCAUAGGGGCAGCUGCUGCCGUCGGUCUGAGCUCGCAAGUUUGAGGCCGCUGCUGAGAGCCGAACGAGAUGUGGAAGACCCCGUAGGUCCCGAGGGGAAAGUCAGCGACUGCCCCCUCCUCUCACAACGUUUCACAACUAAAUCAAAAGUCAUCGUGCAGCAGAAGAGGGUGAAAGGAGAUAACGACAGAAGGGGAGGAGCGGGGCUGUGUCCUUUCACAGACCGGGCAGUGAAUGCGAGGGAAUGGGACCUGCAGUGGAUCAGCAGAGAUUCUGAGAACUGAAGGCCUCACCAGAGUGAACAGAAUCAGUGGGUUACAGUGUAUGAGCACAAAGUCUUACUAGCCACUCUCUUACUCCUCCCUGUCCCUGACCUCAAGGUACAGAACCUUCUACCGUGUCCCUCAUCUUCAUGCAGGAUCUUCUUCCCUUUUUGUUGCUGGAGGACAACAUGAACUCCUCCUGCUAACUCCUGGACCUUUCUUUAGUCCAUCUUUCUGAGCUAUGAGGCCAGCAGAAGCUCCCGUGUAUCCUGCUCUCUGUGGGACAACACCCAUUGCAAUGGGCAGGGGCUGGGUCCCUCUGUGUGAAGAAGCGGCAGAGGAGAACUAGCUAGAAGGGCUGGAAAGGCAUACUGGGGAACCUCCUGCUAUGAUAAGAGCAGUAACUGCUUUUGUAUACCAACCAAAUGGAAACUGAAAACUCUAUAAUAAAACCAACAGUAAGUGACUUUCAGAUCAGAAAACAGGUUUGCAAGACACAGUUUGUGAGCACAUCAUGGAAUGCAAACUGCCUCACAUUUUUGGGGGUCAGAGGAGGAAGCCAUCCCUCCCAUCUACAAAGAUCAGCUUGGGUUUUACUAACUUCUGUGCAGGCAGAUGCUCGCAUCUCCAGCAGGGAGGCCAAACCUCUGAUGACGAUUCUCUUCUUCUGGUCAAAAUGUCAUCUCCAGCAUCUGCUACCUGACCCUAACUGCAGAAGAGAAUUCUUACCACUUGGAUUCUAACAUAGCAUCUCCACAGAGCAAGGAGGCUUAUAAAGAAGAUGUAAUACUUGUGGGAAAUUUGUGUCAUCGUAAAGCAGUACAGGAAUGAGGGGAGGAGUGUGUGUGAACUGUUUAUAGUUGCUGUUUUGAUGCUAAAUUAUUAUUUUGCUGUUGGAAAUUCUUUUUGUUGAUGUAAGUUGUGAAGUUUAGGUGAUGAAUCUUCAUAAAGGUACAUUUUCAUAGUAAUGUAAAUAAUGUUUCAGCAUAUUUCUAUCAUGAGUUUUUGAACACCCAUGUCUCACACUGGUGUCACCUUCAGUGGAUGGCAAAUUCUGAGACACUUCUGUCUAAGCUUUUAAUGAAAAUAAACUAUUUUAUUU